ACACACAGACAAGGUGGUGGGGUGAUGGUGUCAUCUCCAAGUCCCUCUCCUCAUUUAGCUUUUCUGAUAUUUGAACCGUAUCUUAUCUAUGGAUACAUUACUGGUUCAGUCUCUGAAGCGGGGGCGGCUAUGAUGACUUGGCCUUCCUCAGGACAUUCCUUGUUAAUACAAGUGAACAGUGAGACGAUUACGUUGAUUUCACUCUCAACUCAGUGAAAGAAGUAAACACCCGGAAGCUCGUUAGAAACGUAGAACCUCCGCCUCCACCCCAGUCCUAAUGAAUCAGACUGCAUUUUAACAGGAUCCCGGGUGAGUAUGAGAAGCACAGGUCUAGUUUCAAUGAGAGCUCUGCUGAGGGUCAGAGACUUAGAAGAAUAUGAAUUCUCACUCAGACGCUGCACUUCAUAAAAGGAGGCAUGGCUGGAUAAAAAUAAAGGAAGUUGGAGUUUUUCUGUUGUCGAUGGAUGUUUGGUGCAUUCAUUCUCUCUCAAGAAACAGAAUCAGAAGGUCUAAUUAGAUAAAAUACAAAUACAUAUUUCCCCCUGUUCUGUGUGUUACUGUGUGAAAGAUAGGGAAAGCACAGAGCAGGAUAAUGAGUCUCCUUUCAUAAACUCUCCAUCUUCAUCUGGCCUCUGUUCUUUUAGAAAUCAUGUAGUACUCAAAGCAUUUCUGGAUCAUUCCAUACAUUCUAUUAUAAGCCCAAUUUUGAGCAAGAGGGUGAGUUAGGGAAGGGCAACAACAUCAUGAAACCUUCUAGAUUGUUCUUGUACAUUAUGCUUGACGACAAAUAAGAUAGUCAUCUUCUCUACCUAAUUGAAAAGGAGAAAAGAAGGAAAGGCUGUCCCAGGUAGCAGGGCAGCGCAAAGGCAAGAAAUGACACAAUAAGAGCAGUAACAGCUAAUUCUUCCUGAAUGUUUAUUCUGGGCUGGGGCUUGUUUUGAGCAUCUCCUCUGAAUAAACUUGCCAACUAGUAUCUGUAUUCCUGGGGUCUAGACUGAGCCAAGCAAUGUCAGAGAUAGGGCUGGAGAGAGAGGGGCCAUCAAACAAGAGGCAAGUUCCAGACUUUGACUUCCUUAUAAUCAAUGCACAAUGAUCUCCGGGGUAAACCUACCUGAGACUUUGUCCCAUAGGGAAUUGCAGACUUUUUUCCUGAAAGAGAGUGGAUCAUUCUUGCUCUCAUGGGAAUACCUUGGGAUACAAUCUGAAAUGAAACCAGAAAUAUUGACUUCAAUGACAGUAACAUGGCAUUAUGCAAGAAAGAUAGAAGUUGAUUUUUAAAUGUAAUUUCAUAUAUUCUCCAAGAAAUUUUAAAAAUUGUGAAAGACCAUAGAAGCCCAACGUGGUAGAAACUCCUUCAAUGAAAAUGGUGAUCCUGAAGCUUUUAGUUUGUUUUUUUAAUCUUAGAUCUUAGAACCGGCUUAAAAUUUAUCUGAUCUAAAUCGAAUAUCACAGAUUGAGGGAAGUGAUUUGUUGUUACAGAGGUUAAGUGAUUUUCUCAUCAUGACAAAAAGGGAGAUUAUGAGGAGUAAAACCCAGGGUUCCUAACAUUCAAUGCAAAGUGUUUUCUUACACAUGACUGCUGCUAUCUGGGAGAAAAUAAUAGGAAUGCAAAUAGCACUCAUAUUUGCUAGUACUGUCAGCUCAAAGACACAUUGUCACUGAAAGUAGUAUCAAGAAAAAUACAUCUAUCAUGUCUGUUUAUAUUACCAAGCUAACAUAGACAGUGAAAAGUUCUACAACAUUAAGCUCACAUGAUGAAAAUCUACUACAGGCCCACCAUUCUUUAUCCAAACCCAUGGGGCCUGAUGGUUUCAGAAUUCAGAAUUUUUCAAUUUUAGAAAGUAGUGUAGUACACAUAUGCUGGAUAUCACAUAAACCCGCCCCAUAAUCAAACACAAAAUUUCUGUAGCAAAACAUAUUUAUGCUAAAUGAGAUUUUUAAAAGACUACAAAGAGUCUCAUGUCAAGUCAGAUUUUGCUACUCAAUGAGUGAUGAGAAGCUUUCUAUUUUCAGAGUCUUUUUGGAGUAUAGAAUUGUAGAUAAGAUAUUACGGGCCUGUGCAAUUGAAAAAAAAAAGGAAUCUGGCUCCUUUUAUCCUGGAUGCCAUCUUGACUCUCACUUUCUACAGGCAGUGACGCACCAUCCUGUUGAGAACCCAAUAUCAGAAGCAAUCAUCCGGUUGCAGGGUCCUCCUCGGGUGCCUCGAGUGUCCAAUGUUCACCCUCUUGCCAAAUUUCGAAUUUUAAAAGCUUUAGUAGAAUGAGUUUUCAUGCAGAGAUUCUUGGUAUUAAAUGGUACUUUUUAAGCCAGGAUGAAAUCAAACCAUGCAAUUGUUGAAAAAUACCAGGUAUUAUCUUCUGUAAGAAAGAUACAUUAAGUACCUGAUCUUCCAGGCCAACAGCUUUCAAGGCUUGUCGUCCUCUAUGAGAAAGGGCUAAGUUAAUGCUUCUUCCACGUGUGAAGGUAGCCACUCGAGUAUCUGAGACAUUGGAAGCAGACUCCAUGUUACGCACACUUUAUAUCCUAGCUCAGGAUGAGCAAAAUUACUGCAUCUGAACAACUGGUUCAUUCGGAACCACAUUAAAGAACUUCUUAACUCUUCUAAAGAAAAUGCUAAUAGC
RNAcentral lists this long non-coding RNA (2621 nucleotides) under Homo sapiens (human). RNAcentral's name for it is "HSALNT0299448". Lineage: Eukaryota; Metazoa; Chordata; Mammalia; Primates; Hominidae. The record is from RNAcentral.